GCUUACGGCCAUAUCAGCCUGGGUACGCCCGAUCUCGUCUGAUCUCGGAAGCUAAGCAGGGUCGGGCCUGGUUAGUACUUGGAUGGGAGACCGCCUGGGAAUACCAGGUGCUGUAAGGA
RNAcentral lists this ribosomal RNA (119 nucleotides) under Salmo salar (Atlantic salmon). The record is from RNAcentral. Lineage: Eukaryota; Metazoa; Chordata; Actinopteri; Salmoniformes; Salmonidae.